GUGUACUUUGUUUGUGUUUGUGCUGUGCUGUUUAUGUAGCUACUGUUCGUUUGUACGACAUCCAGACCGGUGAAUGUACAGAUGUCCUGGAGGGCCAUGGAAAAGAAGUAGGAAAGGUGGUGUUCAACCCUCAAGGAACACGAGUACUCUCAGCUUCCAUUGAUAAAACUGCGCGUGUGUGGGAUCUAUCAGAUGGUUCAUGCUCACAGGUACUGGAAGGGCACACCGAUGAAGUGUUCUCAGUGGCGUUCAGCUAUGAUGGCGACCGGAUUCUGACAUCCAGCAAGGACAAUACGUGCCGUGUGUGGAGAUGACGACCAGCAGAUAACAUACCGUUACGUGCGGAACUACAGGCGGAUGCCAUGAUUAGGAUCAUUGUCAACUGACGGCUGUGUACAGAUUCAGUUGGCAAUUUUCAGUUUGUUAACGAGCAAUGAAUAUGUGUGUCCUGGAAGAACAACUGCUCACCCAGCGUUUCUCUCUUCCAGUUCCGCCGAUGUUUGUUAUGCAAAUGUUCCACACCCCGCCGUCUAGAGGAUUGUCUAGAGGAUUGUUUUGAAGGAGACUGUGUCUAGCGACCACGCAGCAAGGUUGUUUUAGCCCAAUGGAAACAAACUCAUUAUCCAAGGAGGCCACUUCAAUGAUCCCCAUGUAUAUAAAAUAAUUGUCCGGUGGUGAAGAAGUAAGUAGUGAUGUACUUGAUGUACAUAUUCUUGUUUGCAGCUUAUUUAGAAACCGCAGUACAUGUGUGAUAAAAACAUAGAAUUUUAUAAGCAAGCAGUGCUGUAAGUAGUAUGUGUGACGACGUGUGCUAUAAGCAAGCAGUGAAUAUGUAUAUUGACACUACUAUAAUGCAGUAGCAUGUAGUAUGAGUGUGCAAACCGUGUACAGUAUAUUCAUAGUGUUUUGAAAACAUCCUGGAAAUUCUCAUAAUGAUCUCAAUAUGCACAGUUCAUUGCUCAACAAUUAUUUUUCAAAAUACAACCACACAGUGCCAAGUUCUCA
Molecule: long non-coding RNA, 1005 nt
Organism: Sycon ciliatum
Lineage: Eukaryota; Metazoa; Porifera; Calcarea; Leucosolenida; Sycettidae
Exons: 3
Source: RefSeq, a predicted model, not a curated record